This 1814-nucleotide long non-coding RNA is filed under the name Fragaria vesca (wild strawberry). RNAcentral describes it as "long non-coding RNA (FVES_LNC002197)". Lineage: Eukaryota; Viridiplantae; Streptophyta; Magnoliopsida; Rosales; Rosaceae. The record is from RNAcentral.
CAAUCAAUAAUCAAAACGAAUUAAACGAAAUAACAUUUACAAUCAAAUAGUUAAGAUGUAGCUAGAUCACUUCACUUACUUUUGUGAUAGAUACCCAAUGAUCGAGCGUCUUGAUAGCUUUCCCUGAACGUUGUGUAUCACGAGCCAAAAGAACUCCUUCAGCUAAAUUUGUAACACGGCCGCUAACUAAAAGAGCUGCUGCUGCAUUUAGGAUCUAGCCAAAGUUGACAAUGAAUAGAUGUUCCAAACAUAUGAAGUAAGAAAUGACAUUGAUAUAUUGCUGAAGGAGACUCACAAGUGCAUCUGCAACGGAACCUUUUUCUCCUGACAGUACACGCUUUAAUGCCUCAGCAUUAUACUCUGGACCUCCACCUCGCAAAUCAUCUACAGUGCAUCGAGGAAUUCCAAAGUCCACUAAUAUCAAAAUUUCGAUUUUAUUAGAAUGAAAAUGAAGACAAACUUUAGCAAUAAGGAUAAUGAAUUAUUCCCAAAGCACAAAUACCAACAAGCAUAAGAAUAUGCCAGUUGAUAACUUGAGCCUAAUCUCACAUGGAUCGAAGGAGAACUUCUCAAUCUUGUUAGGAGUCACAUCAAGGAUAAGUCCAGGUCCUAUAUUCAAAUCAAUUAGACAAAAGUUAGGAUUUCCAUAUUGGUGCAUAGUAAGAUGCUAAGCAGUAAGGAAUAACUAUUAAGUUAUACAACAAUAGAAAGGAAACGAUUGUUUUAAAAAUGCCAAAUAAUUAUAAUCUCGUAUAUAAAAUAGAAUGUCUACCGAGAGGACUCAUUUCGUCCAGUCCCUCAGAAUGAACAACCAAUGCUCUUUUCAUGCCAAAGCUUUGUAAUGCUUCAGCCAUCUUCAAGACCUAUACAAUUAAGAAAUAAACCACAUGCAUAUGAAAAUAGUUAAUUUUAUGGUAAGGUCGGAACUUUAGCAACAUGUGCAUUGUGUCAACUAAAGUCUAGCGCAUUCUGUUCUUUGAGGCCCUUACCAAAUCUUCAGUGUAUACACCAACUACGGCAAAAGGGACUUUUGCCGGAUUCAACAUAGGUCCCAAAAUGUUGAAUACAGUUUUUACUUUUAGUUUUUUCCUCACAGGACGAACGAUCCUCAUUGCUGAAUGAUACUUUGGUGCCAUCAUAAAACCAAUGCCCACUUCAUUAACACAUCUCUUGACCUCCUAUUUCAAACAAAAACCAAUAUAAAAAUUUGCAUAAGCAUAUAUGCAAGUUGUUAACUUCUGAAUUAUUUCGCUGUUUAUAUUCACACAAAAAAAUCACCAAAGUUAAUUUGUUGAUGGAAUUAGAAAGUUUAAUGCUAUUCUCGAGUCAAUGUAAUGUUCUUGCAGCUUUAAAACUAAACAACUAUAGUGACCAAUAGGGUUCGGAUAGGCCUUGUUUAUGGCAUUCAACCUGCCCAUCUGACUAGAGAAGACUCUACUAUACCAUCAAUCCAUCUUUCUAAAGCAAAUGUCCAAAGAACCAACCUGAGGGCCCAAUUCAAUGACUAUGUCCAAAGCUUCCAAUACAUCUGCACUUCCACAUGCAGAAGAACUUGAACGAUUACCUUGCUGAAAUACAAACAACUUUCUAACAUUAUUCAUAGUUCAAGUAAAGCAGUGCAGCAAAAGAAAGGAAAUAUCGUCAAUGAUUGAAGAAAUGUAACCUUUGCAACUUUAGCACCACAUGCUGCAGCAAGUAUUGAAGCCCCUGUGGAAAUGUUUACUGUGUUUGCGCCAUCACCUCCAGUUCCGACAAUGUCAACUGCAUCAUCCAAUCCCUCAAUCGGUAAACUGUGUUUCAUCAUUGCCUUUGCC